Small nucleolar RNA from Nomascus leucogenys (northern white-cheeked gibbon), 127 nucleotides. Lineage: Eukaryota; Metazoa; Chordata; Mammalia; Primates; Hylobatidae. The record is from Ensembl.
AGGAUAUAUCAAAGAGACUUUCUAGGGCUGUGAAACCAGGAUCUCGUAAUGCUAUGACCAAAGAUUGAAAUUUUGCAUAGGAUACCAUAGUCACUCAGUAGUGCUGUUUUCCUGAGGAAAUACAAGA